GUACACAAAAAUGCACAUAUUGUGAGCUCGAUGAGUAGGGCGGGACACGUGGUAUCCUGUCUGAAUAUGGGGGGACCAUCCUCCAAGGCUAAAUACUCCUGACUGACCGAUAGUGAACCAGUACCGUGAGGGAAAGGCGAAAAGAACCCCGGCGAGGGGAGUGAAAAAGAACCUGAAACCGUGUACGUACAAGCAGUGGGAGCCUCUUUAUGGGGUGACUGCGUACCUUUUGUAUAAUGGGUCAGCGACUUAUAUUCUGUAGCAAGGUUAACCGAAUAGGGGAGCCGAAGGGAAACCGAGUCUUAACUGGGCGUUAAGUUGCAGGGUAUAGACCCGAAACCCGGUGAUCUAGCCAUGGGCAGGUUGAAGGUUGGGUAACACUAACUGGAGGACCGAACCGACUAAUGUUGAAAAAUUAGCGGAUGACUUGUGGCUGGGGGUGAAAGGCCAAUCAAACCGGGAGAUAGCUGGUUCUCCCCGAAAGCUAUUUAGGUAGCGCCUCGUGAAUUCAUCUCCGGGGGUAGAGCACUGUUUCGGCAAGGGGGUCAUCCCGACUUACCAACCCGAUGCAAACUGCGAAUACCGGAGAAUGUUAUCACGGGAGACACACGGCGGGUGCUAACGUCCGUCGUGAAGAGGGAAACAACCCAGACCGCCAGCUAAGGUCCCAAAGUCAUGGUUAAGUGGGAAACGAUGUGGGAAGGCCCAGACAGCCAGGAUGUUGGCUUAGAAGCAGCCAUCAUUUAAAGAAAGCGUAAUAGCUCACUGGUCGAGUCGGCCUGCGCGGAAGAUGUAACGGGGCUAAACCAUGCACCGAAGCUGCGGCAGCGACACUAUGUGUUGUUGGGUAGGGGAGCGUUCUGUAAGCCUGUGAAGGUGGCCUGUGAGGGUUGCUGGAGGUAUCAGAAGUGCGAAUGCUGACAUAAGUAACGAUAAAGCGGGUGAAAAGCCCGCUCGC
This 958-nucleotide ribosomal RNA is filed under the name Escherichia coli. Its description in RNAcentral is "partial 23S ribosomal RNA". It matches the Rfam family "Bacterial large subunit ribosomal RNA", at positions 375 to 1337 of the family's 2925-position model. Lineage: Bacteria; Pseudomonadati; Pseudomonadota; Gammaproteobacteria; Enterobacterales; Enterobacteriaceae. The record is from RNAcentral.